ACACAUGCAAGUCGAGGGGCAGCGGGAUUGAAGCUUGCUUCAAUUGCCGGCGACCGGCGCACGGGUGAGUAACGCGUAUCCAACCUUCCGUACACUCAGGGAUAGCCUUUCGAAAGAAAGAUUAAUACCUGAUGGUAUGAUGAGAUUGCAUGAUAGCAUCAUUAAAGAUUCAUCGGUGUACGAUGGGGAUGCGUUCCAUUAGGUAGUAGGCGGGGUAACGGCCCACCUAGCCUACGAUGGAUAGGGGUUCUGAGAGGAAGGUCCCCCACAUUGGAACUGAGACACGGUCCAAACUCCUACGGGAGGCAGCAGUGAGGAAUAUUGGUCAAUGGACGAGAGUCUGAACCAGCCAAGUAGCGUGAAGGAUGAAGGUCCUACGGAUUGUAAACUUCUUUUAUAAGGGAAUAAAACCUCCCACGUGUGGGAGCUUGUAUGUACCUUAUGAAUAAGCAUCGGCUAACUCCGUGCCAGCAGCCGCGGUAAUGCGGAGGAUGCGAGCGUUAUCCGGAUUUAUUGGGUUUAAAGGGAGCGCAGACGGGUCGUUAAGUCAGCUGUGAAAGUUUGGGGCUCAACCUUAAAAUUGCAGUUGAUACUGGCGUCCUUGAGUGCGGUUGAGGUGUGCGGAAUUCGUGGUGUAGCGGUGAAAUGUUUAGAUAUCACGAAGAACUCCGAUUGCGAAGGCAGCACACUAAGCCGUAACUGACGUUCAUGCUCGAAAGUGUGGGUAUCAAACAGGAUUAGAUACCCUGGUAGUCCACACGGUAAACGAUGGAUACUCGCUGUUGGCGAUAUACUGUCAGCGGCUUAGCGAAAGCGUUAAGUAUCCACCUGGGG
Molecule: ribosomal RNA, 834 nt
Filed under: uncultured bacterium
Lineage: Bacteria
Description: bacterial SSU rRNA
Rfam family: Bacterial small subunit ribosomal RNA
Source: RNAcentral